RNAcentral lists this ribosomal RNA (526 nucleotides) under uncultured eukaryote. RNAcentral's name for it is "partial 18S ribosomal RNA". It matches the Rfam family "Eukaryotic small subunit ribosomal RNA", at positions 21 to 549 of the family's 1831-position model. The record is from RNAcentral.
UAGUCAUAUGCUUGUCUUAAAGACUAAGCCAUGCAUGUCUAAGUAUAAGUAUUAUACAGCGAAACUGCGAAUGGCUCAUUAAAACAGUUAUAGUUUAUUCGAUUAUUUUCUCCUACAUGGAUAACCGUAGUAAUUCUAGAGCUAAUACAUGCUGUCAAACCUGACUUUUGUGGAAGGGUUGUAUUUAUUAGAUAAAAAACCAAUGCCCUUCGGGGCUCCUUGGUGAUUCAUAAUAACUUCACGAAUCGCAUGGCCUUGCGCCGGCGAUGGCUCAUUCAAAUUUCUGCCCUAUCAACUUUCGAUGGUAGGAUAGUGGCCUACCAUGGUGGCAACGGGUAACGGGGAAUUAGGGUUCGAUUCCGGAGAGGGAGCCUGAGAAACGGCUACCACAUCCAAGGAAGGCAGCAGGCGCGCAAAUUACCCAAUCCCGAUACGGGGAGGUAGUGACGAUAAAUACUGAUACAGGGCUCUUUUGGGUCUUGUAAUUGGAAUGAGAACAAUCUAAAUCCCUUAACGAGGAUCCAUU